UCUCCAACACACAAUGAGUAAACAGGAUUUCAUGAACAUUCAGGCUUGUGCUCUUAGAGUUAACAUUCACUGUGAUGGAUGCAAACAAAAGGUCAAGAAAAUUCUUCAGAAAAUUGAAGGAGUUUACACUGUGAAAAUAGAUGCUGAACAAGGGAAAGUAACAGUAACAGGGAACAUAGAUCCAGGGAAACUGAUAAAGAAGCUUGAGAAAUCAGGGAAACAUGCUGAGCUAUGGGGAGCUCAGAUAAGUUCAAACAACAACAUGAACAAUUUCAACAAUCAGUUUAAG
This 289-nucleotide unclassified non-coding RNA is filed under the name Hevea brasiliensis (rubber tree). Lineage: Eukaryota; Viridiplantae; Streptophyta; Magnoliopsida; Malpighiales; Euphorbiaceae. The record is from RNAcentral.